Molecule: transfer RNA, 77 nt
Filed under: Rhodospirillales bacterium
Lineage: Bacteria; Pseudomonadati; Pseudomonadota; Alphaproteobacteria; Rhodospirillales
Description: tRNA-Gln
Rfam family: tRNA
About the family: Transfer RNA (tRNA) molecules are approximately 80 nucleotides in length.
Source: RNAcentral
UGGGGUGUGGCGAAGUGGUCUAACGCACCGGUUUUUGGUACCGGCACUCCUAGGUUCGAAUCCUAGCACCCCAGCCA